CAGCCUGAAGAGAAAGAGAGAGCUACUGCUGAAUAAGGCAUUGGAAAACACCAUGGUCACGAUCACAGAGUUUCAGAAGAUCGGAGUGGGCCUGACAGGCUUUGGAGUGUUCUUUCUGCUCUUCGGCGUGUUACUGUACUUUGACUCUGUCCUGCUGGCACUUGGAAAUGUGCUUUUUCUGACUGGCUUAGCCUUCAUCAUUGGCCUGAGAAGGACAGCACACUUUUUCUUCCAGAGGCAGAAGCUGAAAGCCUCUACCUUCUUCCUGGGUGGUGUGGCUCUGGUGCUCCUGCGCUGGCCAGUCAUUGGCAUGGCAGUGGAGAGUUACGGCUUUGUGCUGCUGUUUAAGUCAUUUUUCCCCAUGGCGUUUGGAUUUUUGGGAUCACUGAUGAAUAUCCCAUAUCUCAGCUCGCAAACUUGAACACUAUCACAUAUGAGGGACUGUGAAACUAUCAAAUCACUGUUUGCCACACUUUCCUCAUCAAUUUAUCUGGAAGCAGUUCAUCUAUGGUUUGAAAGCUAAAGAGAAGACGCAAUGGCUGUCAUGUUACCAUCAGUCCAUAGAACCUGAGGCUGCUGUAAAAGUUUACUUUAUAUGGACAUUUCAGCAUCAAAGUGAGAGAAACACUGACUUGGACAUUUCAUAUACUAGAAUUUGUGUUAGCUACACAAGAUAUUAUAUAUUUAUGAUGAUGAUAAAGUUGUAUUUAUAAUGUACCCGCCGCAGGUGUAUAAUGUUUGCAAUAAGGAAUUCAUCCAAUUUGACUUCACAAACAGCUAAAUAAUGUAUCGAUUAAAAAUGGAGCAGCAGGGUUUGUGAAAUAUAGUCUAUAAAACGAAAUAAAAUGGCAUGUAAUGUGACUGGUAUGAAUAAAAUAUAUCUGUUUUCUGGUA
Molecule: RNA transcript, 894 nt
Organism: Alosa alosa (allis shad)
Lineage: Eukaryota; Metazoa; Chordata; Actinopteri; Clupeiformes; Clupeidae
Gene: golt1a
Gene name: golgi transport 1A
Exons: 6
Source: RefSeq, a predicted model, not a curated record